CUCUUGGUUCCUCGCAAUGGUAUUUGGUUCACCGGGUCAGAUUCGGAAGAAAGCAGCCCAAGUCAAAUUUCCGUGUGCCGAGAUUCAGCUGGGAGGGA
Molecule: signal recognition particle RNA, 98 nt
Filed under: Testudinibacter crocodili
Lineage: Bacteria; Pseudomonadati; Pseudomonadota; Gammaproteobacteria; Pasteurellales; Pasteurellaceae
Description: Pasteurellaceae bacterium BK121 signal recognition particle sRNA small type
Rfam family: Bacterial small signal recognition particle RNA
About the family: The signal recognition particle (SRP) is a universally conserved ribonucleoprotein involved in the co-translational targeting of proteins to membranes. Archaeal SRP consists of a 7S RNA and homologues of the eukaryotic SRP19 and SRP54 proteins.
Source: RNAcentral